Molecule: transfer RNA, 73 nt
Filed under: Trichonephila inaurata madagascariensis
Lineage: Eukaryota; Metazoa; Arthropoda; Arachnida; Araneae; Nephilidae
Rfam family: tRNA
About the family: Transfer RNA (tRNA) molecules are approximately 80 nucleotides in length. Their secondary structure includes four short double-helical elements and three loops (D, anti-codon, and T loops).
Source: Rfam by way of RNAcentral
GCUCCUGUGGCCUAAUGGAUAAGGCGUUGGCCUCCGGAGCCAAAGAUGGUAGGUUCGAGUCCUACCAGGAGCA